Podarcis muralis (Common wall lizard) is the source of this 1987-nucleotide long non-coding RNA. Lineage: Eukaryota; Metazoa; Chordata; Lepidosauria; Squamata; Lacertidae. The record is from Ensembl.
AUGCCCCAAAACACUUUUUGUGGCUUUAAUUUUUGUUAUUUGCUGUAUCGGGGGGAAAAGAGCACUACUCUCCCUUAUUUUGUGUCUUGCGCAGAAGCUGAGCUGAAGGCCGAGGAGGGAACCCCAGGUCUGGACGCCUCUGCCAAACACCCAGCGUCUGAGGAGGCUCCCCUGGGAGGAGAGCAGAGGAUGGAGAAGGAGGGAGGGUCUUGCAGCACCCCCAGCACAGAAGGGGGAGCAGAGGCGCCUGCCGUGGGCCUGGGGGAGCCGAGAGAAGCAGCGGAAGCCGGGCCUGAAGAGCCAAGCCAGGAGGUGAAAGGGGAAGGGGGAGCAGGGCAGGAUGCGGCCAAGGCAGUGGAAGAGAGCCAUACACCAAGCCAAGCCGCCGUGGCAGGAGGGGAAGGGAGCCACGAAAGCCCACCAAGCUCCCAGCAGAAGCACCUUGAACUUCAGCAGAGCCUCAGCUGCCCAGCACACCUGCCCAGCCUAGCAGAUAUUCCGGAAGAGGCUCCGGCUGACCUCAAGGAGCCGACUCCUCAGGAACCGGCGGCUCCCACCCACAAAGCAGACCCGCCACCCCCUGGGGAAGCCAAGGAGGCCCCCCCUGAUUCGGCGCAAACCCCAGCGGCGGCAGAGCAACUGGGCCCAGCGGAUCAAGGAGAAAGGACCUUGGCCGAACCCGCUCCCUUAGCCCCAGGGGCCACAACUCAGGAUGCUGGUGAGCCCAGUGUUUCCGCAGCGCAGCCGCCGUCGGAAGGAAGUGAGACCGCGGCAACCCCUGCAGAGGUUCCGGAUACCCCAACCAGCCCAUACCUCACUCCGGACUUUGGCAAAGAGGACCCGUCCCUGAUUUUGGGUAAGGCCAUCGAGGCCUCUGGCUUUGCGGAGCCAGCUGAACGAGCCUGGUCCAGACAGAGGGAAUAGGAGUGAGGGGCAGGCGGCCAGAACAGCUCUCUUUUUAAAAAAAGGAAGGAAGGAUAUAUAUAUAUAUAUAUAUAUAUAUAUAUAUAUAUAUAUGCAGGUUUUGGUGUCCUCGGGUGUCUUCCCGUGUAAAAGUUGGGGUGUCUAGGCGACGUUUCGACGAGGUCUCACUCGUCAUCUUCAGGCUGGUGCUUUCGGCUUCUUGUUACUGGAACAGAGCAGGAUCUCAGUGUUUGAGUUCCUAUAAAUACUGUUGAGGGGGUGUGGUGUAUAGCCUCCAAUGUUCUGGGCAGAGAGGAAGUUCCCAGGCUAGUGUGCCUUUUCUUCUUUUGUUCCUUAAUUACUUGAGGGAUAUCUUGAGUGAUUUCUUGAGUGAUAUUCUGAGUACCACUUAGGUGGGUCAUUAGGUGUGGAUUAGUUGCUAAAGCCUUCGUGUCUUGACCUCUUGAACUUUGUGAAGAGUUUUUCUGAGAAGAUGGCUGUACUGCACUUAGUUGUGCUCUGGCUUGGCUUCGUGUAUAGGGGCGAGCUGUGGUUUUGUGUCCUGUGCCAGCCAGAUCUGUGUAGGGAUUGCAGGGGGGUGCAGCAUCCGGAGGUGUCACCAUGGUUUGGCUACUGGAUGGUGUCUGUAAUUUAUCUGUGGAGAGGGUCUGGGUUUGGGUCUGGUGUGGUUGAUUGGUGAUGGCGUUCUGUGUGCCUCUGGAUCUGGUGUCGGUUUUUGUGGGGAGGGCUAAUUUCCAGAUGUCUGGCAGGCGGGAUGUGUCGUCACGCUUGUUCAUGUUGUGAGGGUGUUUCUCUAUCUCGAUGGCUUCCAUGAUUAUUCUCUUGUGGUGAUGUUCCAUGUUAAAGAGCAAUUUGGAAUCUGCAAAAUUAAUUUCGUGUCCUGUUUCUUUCAUGUGUUGGAAAAGAGAGGAAGUUAGCCAAUAUAGCCAAUAUCCUCAGAAACCCCAAGGAUAAAAUCCAGUUGGAAAACCAAGGGGUCUAUGAAAUACCCUGCAAAGUCUGCCCAGCCACGUACAUUGGACAAACAAACAGACGAAUAAAUGCACGUAUCGCAGAACACAAG